This 343-nucleotide ribosomal RNA is filed under the name uncultured soil bacterium. Its description in RNAcentral is "bacterial SSU rRNA". It matches the Rfam family "Bacterial small subunit ribosomal RNA", at positions 26 to 367 of the family's 1533-position model. The record is from RNAcentral.
AGAGUGAACGCUGGCGGCAGGCCUAACACAUGCAAGUCGAGCGGCAGCGCGGGGGCAACCCUGGCGGCGAGCGGCGGACGGGUGAGGAAUACAUCGGAAUCUGCCUUGUUGUGGGGGAUAACGUAGGGAACUUACGCUAAUACCGCAUAAGACCUGAGGGUGAAAGCGGGGGACCGCAAGGCCUCGCGCGACAAGAUGAGCCGAUGUCCGAUUAGCUAGUUGGUGAGGUAAGCUCACGAAGGCGACGAUCGGUAGCUGGUCUAGAGAGGAUGAGUCAGCCACACGUAGAACUGAGACGACGGUCCAGACUCCGUACGGGAGCAGCUAGGUAGGGUAAUAGUUA